Enterococcus termitis is the source of this 87-nucleotide non-coding RNA. Lineage: Bacteria; Bacillati; Bacillota; Bacilli; Lactobacillales; Enterococcaceae. The record is from Rfam.
UACCAACAACAACCCUUUUUAUUUUUUCAUUUUACUCGUAAGAGUAAAACUCCUUUUCCCAUCUUCAAUAGAAGGUGGGAUUUUUUU